UGGUCAGUGAUGACUAGUCCACUGCGCAAGCUGAGGUGCUGUAAAAUACGCACUCUUGUGAAGAAGGCAGUGCUGAGCUUAGUCUGAGCCCC
Molecule: non-coding RNA, 92 nt
Organism: Colossoma macropomum (tambaqui)
Lineage: Eukaryota; Metazoa; Chordata; Actinopteri; Characiformes; Serrasalmidae
Product: small Cajal body-specific RNA 18
Exons: 1
Source: RefSeq, a predicted model, not a curated record